GGGCGGUUAGCUCAGAUGGCGAGAGCGCCUGCCUUACAAGCAGGAGGUCACUGGUUCGAGCCCAGUACCGCCCACGA
RNAcentral lists this transfer RNA (77 nucleotides) under Candidatus Abyssobacteria bacterium SURF_5. Its description in RNAcentral is "Candidatus Abyssubacteria bacterium SURF_5 tRNA-Val". It matches the Rfam family "tRNA". From Rfam's summary of the family: Transfer RNA (tRNA) molecules are approximately 80 nucleotides in length. Their secondary structure includes four short double-helical elements and three loops (D, anti-codon, and T loops). The record is from RNAcentral. Lineage: Bacteria; Pseudomonadati; Candidatus Hydrogenedentota; Candidatus Abyssobacteria.